RNAcentral lists this long non-coding RNA (1701 nucleotides) under Fukomys damarensis (Damara mole-rat). Its description in RNAcentral is "lncRNA (ENSFDAG00000024516.1)". Lineage: Eukaryota; Metazoa; Chordata; Mammalia; Rodentia; Bathyergidae. The record is from RNAcentral.
GCAAUUAUUGCAAAUUAACCACUUUGAUGUUAAUCAUUUCUAUUUGUGCUUCUCUCCGACUUGAUUUUUUAUGUCUCCAGAAGAGGUAGCAUCAGCAUCCUCAGAAGAUGCCAACUUUUUGAGUCAUCGACAUCCUUUAAAGAUACAGGGGGAUCACCUUGAGCUCCAGAAAUGCAAAUCAACUGGAAAAACACCAGCUGGCCUUAAUCUUUCAACAUUGCAGUUGAGUCUGCCUCAUGUCAGCAGGCUAGCAGGAAUCCCGUCUGUUGCGACAGGCUUGGUGUCCUCAGAGAUGUUGUGGUUCCUGCUCCUCCAUCUUCCUUGGAGUUUUGACUUCUGUCUUCCCGUUGUCACCUCAACUUUGCAAGGCACCUUUUCUCAAAACCCAGCCAUCACGUGCAGCUUCCAAGCAAGAACAGGAGGAUGAUGCGGGGAAAAAUAGCUCUUUCACCAUGACAGGAUCCUCAUGCGAAUGAGGCAAAGGGUCAGCACACUGGCCGGCUGCCCCUCCAGGCUGCGGAAUCCUGUGGUCAACACCGAGUGCCAUCCGGCCAGGGCUGGGGACCCAGGCAGCUCCGGCAGACAAACAAGAACAGAUGACUACGAAGACCGGAUAGAGCGCAGAGGAAAGGCAGAGACGUCGGAGAACCUCGGAGAGCCGUUUGGGGUAUUUGGUAAAGCAUCCUGGCUUAGUGCAGGUUUGUUCAAAACAGCAGUGUUUUAGGACUCUAAAGUGAUGCAUUAUGACAACUUUUCAUCUUCCAUUCUAGGCUGUUAACUGAAGUAUGUAUGAAGAUAACAACAAUUACUUUAAAGGACUUUGAAGAAAUGCAUCGAUUUUUAAAAAGUGUAAUGUAAGAGAAAACCAAGGAGCUAAAGGUGUAGGGAAGGUGUGAUACGUAGGGGAAGAACAAAAAGGGAAAAGAAAAAAAUGUGAGAGAAUGAAAAGAUGAAAAUAAAGUGUUUGUAGAUGGGGAGGGGAGGAGGGGGUGAAGGGAGGGCAGAGGUAAGGGGAAAAAAAUGAGAAUCAAGACUUGCCAUGUAAAGGUACAUGAUCCCAACAAUGAAUGUAACUGUACUGUAUCCCUAAAUGUACCAAUAAAAUCAAUAAAAAAAAAAAGAAAAAAGAAAAAGAAAGAGAAAACCAAUAUGCGACGGUCACCAAGUGGGCGGAGUGACGGAGCGGGCCCUGCCAGGAGUCGAGUUGCCAAUGAGCCAGCUGCUGCUCUUCCGAAGCCUGAAGUGAAGCCAAGCGUUCUGGGGUCUCCUUGGGAGACAGGCAGCCUUGUUCCUCUGGGAGAGCAACUCUCACGAGGGAGGACUUUGUGUCCAAAGAUUUAACAUUCAGUCACUAAUUAACAUCGGGUAGUCUUGCUGAGCCUCUUGGCGUUGCAAGGCAGUCUCCUCCUCCUCCUCGGAUCCUCCACUGGGAAUGAAUUGUCCUCUCAGACCCCUUCCGCUCCCGUUUCCUUUCCGGGCACUGCUCCUAGGAAAGCUAUUGUACACUGCUCACCCUGUUUUCCUGCCUACUUCUCUGAGGAACCAAACUGGCACCGAUCUCAAUAAUUUUCCAGUUAUAUAAACACAAAUAUACUUUAAAGGAUCAAUAAACGCAUAGUUGUCCAAACUACAGAUAAAGAGAAAAGGAAUAAAGUCGACAAGGUCUGUCAUGAAAAGUGAGUAACUAUAGCUACUAAGGAG